RNAcentral lists this ribosomal RNA (207 nucleotides) under uncultured bacterium. RNAcentral's name for it is "partial 16S ribosomal RNA". It matches the Rfam family "Bacterial small subunit ribosomal RNA", at positions 568 to 774 of the family's 1533-position model. The record is from RNAcentral.
UGCGCAGGCGGUCUGCUAAGUCGGAUGUGAAAGCCCCGGGCUUAACCUGGGAAUUGCAUUCGAUACUGGCAGACUAGAGUCUGGUAGAGGUAAGCGGAAUUCCGGGUGUAGCGGUGAAAUGCGUAGAUAUCCGGAGGAACAUCAGUGGCGAAGGCGGCUUACUGGACCAAGACUGACGCUCAGGCACGAAAGCGUGGGUAGCAAACA